RNAcentral lists this long non-coding RNA (6227 nucleotides) under Sus scrofa (pig). Its description in RNAcentral is "lncRNA (ENSSSCG00025059277.1)". Lineage: Eukaryota; Metazoa; Chordata; Mammalia; Artiodactyla; Suidae. The record is from RNAcentral.
UUUUUUUUUUUUUUGGCAAACCCACAGUAUGCAUAAGUUCCCUGGCCAGGGAUCAAACCUGCACCAUAGCAGUGACAACACUGGAUACUUAACUGCUAGGCCACCAGGAAACUCCCUAUUUUUGGGUGUUUAAGGAACUUCCAUACUGUUUUCCAUAGGAGCUGCACCAAUUUACAUUCUCACCAGUAGUGUAGGAGGAUUCCCUUUUCUCCACACCCUCUCUAGCAUUUACUAUUUGUAGACUUUUAAUGACGGCAAUUCUGACCAGUGUGAGGUGAUACCUCAUUGUAGUUUUGAUUUGCAUUUCCCUGAUAAUUAUCAAUGUUGAGAAUCUCUUCAUGAGCCUACUGAGCUAUUUGUCAUCUUCAGAAAUAUGUCUAUUUAGUCUUCUGCCCAUUUUUUUGUUUCUUGGUAUUGAGUUGUAUGAGCUGUUUGUAUAUUUUAGAAAUUAAGCCUUUGUCAGUCACAUCAUUUGCAAAUAUUUUUUCCCAGUCCAUAGGUUGUCUUUUCAUUUUGUUAAGAUUGUAAAUUUGAUUGUGCCCCAUUUUGUUUAUUUUUACUUUUAUUUCUAUUGCCUUGGGAGACUGACCUAAGAAACUCUGCUAUGAUUUUUGUCAGAGAAUGUUUUGCCUAGUUCACCUCUAGGAGUUUUAUGGUGUCAUGUCUUAUAUUUAAGUGUUUAAGCCAUUUUGAGCUUAUUUUUGUAUAUUGUAUGAGGGAGUGUUUUAAGUUCAUUUAUUUACAUGUGGCUGCUCAGCUUGUCCAAGACUACUUGCUAAAGAGACUGUCUUUACUUCAUUAUAUAGUCUUGUCUCCUUUUGUUGAAGAUUAAUUGACUAUGGGUGUGUGGGUUUAUUUCUGGACCCUCUAUUCCCUUCCAUUGAUCCCUAUGCCUGUCUUUGUGACAAUACUGUGCUGUUUUGAUUACUGCAGCUUUGUAGUAUUGUCUGAAGUCUGGGACAGUUAUGCCUCCAGCUUUUCUCAGGAUUGCUUUGGCACUUGUGGGUCUUUUAUGAUUCCAUGUAAAUUUUAUGAUAAUUUAUUCUAGUUUUGUGAACAAUGUCAUGGGUAAUUUGAUAGGGAUCCUAUUAAAUUAGUUGAUUGCUUUGGGUAGUAUGGCCAUUUUAACAAUGUUAAUUCUUCCAAUCCAAGAGCAUGGGGUAUCUUUCCAUUUCUUUGGAUCAUCUUAAAUUUACUUUAUCAAUAUUUUAUAGUUCUCAACAUACCGGUCUUUCACCUCCUUAGUCAUGUUUAUUCUUAAGUUUUCUGUGUUUGGGCUGUGGGAUGGAAAUCCUGUAAAAUUGGAUUGUUAUGAUCAUUAUACAACUACAGAUGUGAUUAAAUUCAUUUGAGUAAUAAAAAAAUACUAAAAAAAAUAAAAGCUAUUGUUUUUAUUUUUAAAACACAACCUGUAUUUUUUAGCAUUUCCCCAGUGGUGCCCUUGUACAACAAAGGUUGAGAACCAUUACAGUUAUCACUCAACAAAUAUUUAUAAAACUGUGCUCAUCCAUACUAGGAAAUAAAAAAGAUUUCUAGAUUAUCUAGAAUAGGGUUUUUACAGGUCAUUCCUGCCUCUGAGAAAUCUAGACACAUGACUAUAUGGAGAGUAACUUAUUUUUUUAAGUUGCUUGGUUUUCCCCCAAAAAAUAAAGAAGAAAUCAAAAUGAGUACAAAUAGCAGAAGGUUGCUUAAACCUAAACAUCCAUUGUCAGAGGAUUGAUUAAAUAAUAAUGAUGUGCCUCAAAAUUGGAAUUCUAUAUAGCCACUGAUAGGGAAACUCUCUAGCUGCAGACAUACACCAAUACCCAAGACAGAGUAAAUGAAAAAACUAAGAUACAAAGCAAAAUUUGGUGGCUGUUUUGGGUUGUGUUCCUUAUCCCUGGUACCAUUGAAGUUGACUGUAUUUGCAGAAGAUGAGGCCAGACUAGAUUAGGGUGGGCUCAAGUCCAAUGACUGGUGUCCCUUUAAGAAGAGAUAAACUUGCAUACAGACCCAGAAGGUCACAUGAAGAUGGAAACAAAGAUUGGAGUGAUGGAGCCCCAGCAGCUAGGAUAGAGGAAGGGAACAGAUAGAUGUUCCCUCAGAACCUCCAGAAAAAGCAUAUCCUACCAACAACUAGAUUUUGGACCUCAAGCCUCCCUAUUGUGAGAAAGUAAGGUUCUAUUGUUUCAAGCCACCCAAUUUGUGGUGAUUUGUUAUGGCAGCCCUAGAAAACUAAUACAGUAGCUUAUCAUUUCUGGGAAUCUAUCUAUCUAUCUAUCUAUCUAUCUAUCUAUCUCUAUCUCUCUCUCUCUCUCUCUCUCUCUCUCUCUCUCUCUCUCUCUCUCUCUCUAUCAUCUAUCUAUCCAUCUAUCAAUACUAAAACUCUUUCCGAAAGGAUACCCAAGAAACUGAGGCCAAAAUGACUUCUGGGAAAGACAUGAGGAUGGCUGGGAGCAAGGGAAGAAAGAGAGAUUUACUUUUCAGUGCAUGCUCUUUUAUGUUUUUUGACUUUUGUACUAUAUUCAGAUGCUAUUUUAUUUCAUUUUCUUUUUUAGGGCUGCACCCAUGGCAUAUGUAAGUUCCCAGGCUAAGGGUAAAAUAGGACCUAUGCUAUAGCCACAGCAAUGCAGGAUCUGAGCUGUGUCUGAGACCUAUACCACAGCUCAUAGCAAUGCUGGAUCCUUAACCCACUGAGUGAGGCCAGGGAUCAAACCCAUGUCUUCAUGGAUACUAGUCAGGUUUGGUUACUACUGCACUGCCAUGGGAACUCCAAAUACUAUUUAUUUUUAAAAAAUCAAUGAUUUUACAAUAAUUGUGAUUUUUUUUCCCCCAGCUUGGGUCAGCUGCAGAAAUAACCCAAGAAAGCUGCUUUAACCUCUCAGGGCCUCAGACUUCACAACCAGAAAAUGGGGAUAAUAAUACCAAUUAUAGCCAACCCUUAAAAAAAUGCACCAACCCCUCACACAGUUGAAAAUCCACAUAUAACUUUACAGUUGGCCCUUUGUAUCUGUGGUUCUGCCUCUGGGGAUUCAACCAGUGUUGGAUGGUGUAGCACUGUGGUACAUCUUUAUUAAAAAAAAAUCUACACAUAAUUGGAUGCACACAGAUCCAACCUCUGUUAUUCAAGGGUCAACUGUACCUUACACACAGUGCAUGAUGUGCCUGGAAGGGUGCCUGGCAGAGAAAAGGGCUCAAGGAGGGAUCAUAUUGGCUAUGGUGUUUUUUUUUUUUUUUUUUUGUCUUUUCUAGGGCUGCACACAAGGCAUAUGGAGGUUUCCAGGUUAGGGGUCUAAUUGGAGCUGUAGCUGCUGGCCUAAGCCACAGCCACAGCAAUGUGGGAACCAAAACGCGUCUGUAACCUGUACCACAGCUCAUGGCAAAGCCGGAUCCUUAACCCACUGAGCGAGGCCAGGGAUCAAACCUGCAACCUCAUGGUUCCUAGUUGGAUUCGUUAACCACUGAGCCACUACAAGAACUCCUGGCUAUGGUUUUUAUGGCUAUUAUGUGAUUAAGGUGCCUGAAUAAUAGUUAAAAUCCAAACAAGGGAUCAUGGGUGGAACACUGGAAGGGCCACACUAAACUGUGGUGGCAACUAAUAAAGCUGGCACCUAAUCAAGGAUAGCAUCUGCUCCACGAAGGAGAUCUUCCUCAGCAGCCUUCCUCAACAGCAGCAGUGCCACCUUCAUAGCUGGAUAAUUCUAGGUUGUGGGUCUGUGCUGCACACAGUAGGUUUUAGCAUUGCUUGUCUUUGCCCACAAGGUGCCAGGAGUAUGUCUCCCUCAGUUGGGUUCAUCAAAGAAGACUCCUGACAAUGGCUCCCAUCCUCUGGUGAACAAAACUGGCUUAGCUGAGAACCACUAGUCCACAGAUUGGCAGUUCCCAACAUGUGCCACCCAGACCAGCAAUAAAUAUUACUGGGAACUUCUCAGAAAUGCAGAAUCUGGGCCCCAUCUCAGACCCACCGUAGCUGAACCUGCAUUUUAACAAGAUCUCCCUGUCACAUUAAAAUGUGAUCAGCAUUCAUCAACACCAGUGGCUCUCCCCUUCUCUUAUAAACAUAGGAAACCUUGCCCCUUUGAGUAAAAACACAUAUUACUGGCUCCUACCCAACCUGAGAAAGGGCUGGGAGUAGAUAUUUUAAAGUGAAUCUUAGGAUCAAGAAGUUUGGGGAAACUCUACCGUGUUUAUAUAGAGAAACAAAAUUUAGCAAUUCCUUUCUAGAAUUGCAUGGGCAGAGAGUGUCUUGGAUCCCAAACUUGUUCUCUGGAUAUUUAUCAAGUCCUCACUGAGCACUGGCCCAGGGACAAGUGGCUAAAAGAGACCCAUCUCCUGAGUGGCACCGAGCUGACAGCCCAAAGUGCACUGGAUGGCGCAGAAGUAGAGUCCAGCUGACAUUGUUAGAGAACUUCUACAUCUAACUGUGUUGGAAUCCUUUGACUUCCUGGUCCCAUAAGCAAAUAAAGUUUGGUUUUGGAAUUCCUGUUGUGGUUCAACGGUGAUGAACCUGACUAGUAUCCACAUGGAAGAGGGUUUGAUCCCUGGCCUCACUCCGUGGGUUAAGAAUCCAGCAUUGCUGUGACCUGUGGUGCAGGUCACAGACACAGCUCAAAUGCUGGGCUGCUCUAACUGUGGUAUAGCCUGGCAGCAGCAGCUCCGAUUCGACCCCUAGCCUGAGAACCUCCAUAUGCUGCAAAUGCAGCCCUAAAAAGCAAAAAAAAAAAAAAAAAAAAAAAAAAUUUGAUUUUGCUUGAGGCAAUUUAAGUUUUAUUUCUAAUCACUUGUCUCUGAGAUAGUCUCAAUGAACACACUAUCCUCUAAGGUCACAGGACUGAUUUUCCUGCCCAUGACCAUAUGUGAUGGAAUAACUUUCUAAGUCUAAUAUGGAUUCCCACAAAGUUCUGUCUAUAGGGAGAUAAUACAGAGCUCAGAAGCCAUAAGAAUGUGAAAAUUUGUGUAGCUAUAAGAGCAUUAUAAAUCAAUUGUAUUCUGGCUUUAUACAUCCAUCUCUUGUGAGUUUGGUUCCUGUAAGUCAGUGUCCAGGUUUUAACACAUCCAAGUAUAAGUAGAGCAAAAGAAAUGUUCCAACCAGCCCCUGGAAUGAAAUGAUGUUAUACUCCCCACCCCACUGUUUUCAUGUAGGACUUCUUUUGUUUGUUUGUUUGUUUAGGGCUGCACUUGCAGCAUAUGGAAGUUCCCAGGCUAGGGGUCAAAUCAGAACUACAGCUACCACCUAUACCACACCCACAGCAACAUGGGAUGUGGACUGUGUCUGCGACCUACACCAUAGCUCACAGCAACGCUGGAUCCUUAACACACUGAGUGAGGAAUAUAGCAUAUCUCACUUUUUUUAUAUUGAUUGCACACUGAAAUAAUAAUAUGCUGAGCAUACUGGGUUAAAUAAAGUGUCUUAUUAAAAUUAAUUUCACCCAUUACUUUUUACGUCUUAAAUGGGGCUAUUAGGAAAAUUUAAGUUACAUAUAUGGCUAUUUGUGGCUCCUAUUAUAUAGUCAGUUCUAGCUAUAUUGUUAUAUAUAGUAUAUAUAUAUGCACACAAUAUAUAGUAUAUAUUAUCUAUAUAUAAUUGUUAUUUUGUAUAUGGAUUAUACAAAAUAAGUUAUACUUAUUUUGAAAAUGUGAAUUUGCUCCCAUGAAGCAGAUACAUUGAGAGGUAAUUAAACAUAACACUAAUAACAUGUCUACUCGUGUCUGUAAGAAACACUAGGUGAAUCCUGAAAACGGCACCCAGCUGAACUGAGUUGUGCGGAAAACACACAAAAUGCUCACACAUGCACAGACCUCAAACAUCCACCAGAUACUUCAGUUCACCACACGGAUUAUGCGCCACAUGAACCCACAUCUGGUGCUACAACUUUCCGUCCAAUUUUAAAUAACCCUCCUUUCACCACUUUCCAUAACUCACAUGCAGCCACCAUGGCUCGUGGAUGCCACUUCCUCAAGCAAAUGCCAGGUCUUUUCCAAGCUAAAAUGCAAUAUACAGUAUAGUAUUUACACAUAUACUUGCAGUUAACAUAUGCAAAAGUGGGCUGUUUUUACUAGGCUCCUUUUUUUUUUUUUUUUAAUGUUUCUCUGACAAAGUUUUUAGUGUUAUGUCCCUCACCCCACUUACUCCAUAGGUCCUACAGUUUUUAUUGCGAGAUUUUGCAUCUCACUGUAUUUUUCAGUAAUGCCUACGGCUGUGUUUCUAUUGGACGGUGCUGUGCUACAGAGCCUUGGUUCCCAAAGCA